GCCUCUGUAGCUCAGUUGGUUAGAGUGCUCCACCGGAAUCGCAGGGCCGUAGGUUCAAUUCCUACCAGAGGAC
RNAcentral lists this transfer RNA (73 nucleotides) under Paramuricea clavata. It matches the Rfam family "tRNA". Rfam says of the family: Transfer RNA (tRNA) molecules are approximately 80 nucleotides in length. Their secondary structure includes four short double-helical elements and three loops (D, anti-codon, and T loops). Further hydrogen bonds mediate the characteristic L-shaped molecular structure. tRNAs have two regions of fundamental functional importance: the anti-codon, which is responsible for specific mRNA codon recognition, and the 3' end, to which the tRNAs corresponding amino acid is attached (by aminoacyl-tRNA synthetases). tRNAs cope with the degeneracy of the genetic code in two manners: having more than one tRNA (with a specific anti-codon) for a particular amino acid; and 'wobble' base-pairing, i.e. permitting non-standard base-pairing at the 3rd anti-codon position. Lineage: Eukaryota; Metazoa; Cnidaria; Anthozoa; Malacalcyonacea; Plexauridae. The record is from Rfam by way of RNAcentral.